UGGGUAACCUGCCCUAUACACACGGAUAACGUACCGAAAGGUACGCUAAUACGAGAUAACAUAUUUUUAUCGCAUGGUAGAAAUAUCAAAGCUCCGGCGGUAUAGGAUGGACCCGCGUCUGAUUAGCUAGUUGGUAAGAUAAUGGCUUACCAAGGCGACGAUCAGUAGCCGACCUGAGAGGGUGAUCGGCCACAUUGGAACUGAGACACGGUCCAAACUCCUACGGGAGGCAG
This 233-nucleotide ribosomal RNA is filed under the name uncultured bacterium. Its description in RNAcentral is "partial 16S ribosomal RNA". It matches the Rfam family "Bacterial small subunit ribosomal RNA", at positions 118 to 351 of the family's 1533-position model. The record is from RNAcentral.